ACAAUGGAGAGUUUGAUCCUGGCUCAGGAUGAACGCUGGCGGCAUACUUAACACAUGCAAGUCUUAGGAGAAAGCAACCUUCGGGAUGCAAGUAAACUGGCGAACGGGUGCGUAACGCGUAGACAACCUACCUUUUAGUCUGGAAUAACUUCGGGAAACCGUAGCUAAUACCGGAUAUAAUUACAAACUUCAUUUUUUGUAAUAAAAACGGGCUUCGGCUCGUGCUAAAAAAUGGGUCUGCGUCUGAUUAGCUAGUUGGUAAGGUAACGGCUUACCAAGGCAACGAUCAGUAGCUGGUCUGAGAGGGCAAUCAGCCACACUGGAACUGAGACACGGUCCAGACUCCUACGGGAGGCAGCAGUGGGGAAUA
RNAcentral lists this ribosomal RNA (370 nucleotides) under Fidelibacterota bacterium. RNAcentral describes it as "bacterial SSU rRNA". It matches the Rfam family "Bacterial small subunit ribosomal RNA", at positions 1 to 363 of the family's 1533-position model. The record is from RNAcentral. Lineage: Bacteria; Pseudomonadati; Fidelibacterota.